This 71-nucleotide transfer RNA is filed under the name Marmota marmota marmota (Alpine marmot). It matches the Rfam family "tRNA". Rfam says of the family: Transfer RNA (tRNA) molecules are approximately 80 nucleotides in length. Their secondary structure includes four short double-helical elements and three loops (D, anti-codon, and T loops). RNAcentral also lists the same sequence under 3 other names. The record is from Rfam by way of RNAcentral. Lineage: Eukaryota; Metazoa; Chordata; Mammalia; Rodentia; Sciuridae.
GGGGUUGUGACUCAGUGGUAGGGUACUUGCCUUGCAUGUGUGAGGCACUGGGUUUGAUUCUCAGCACCCCA